GAGAGUAGGUAUUAGUUAGACAGAGAGUAAGGUAUUGGUUAGACAGAGAGUAAGGUAUUGGUUAGACAUAGAGUAAGGUAUUAGUUAGACAGAGAGUAAGGUAUUAGUUAGACAGAGAGUAAGGUAUUGGUUAGACAGAGAGUAGGUAUUAGUUAGACAGAGAGUAGGUAUUAGUUAGACAGAGAGUAAGGUAUUGGUUAGACAGAGAGUAGGUAUUAGUUAGACAGAGAGUAGGUAUUAGUUAGACAGAGAGUAAGGUAUUGGUUAGACAGAGAGUAGGUAUUGGUUAGACAUAGAGUAAGGUAUUAGUUAGACAGAGAGUAAGGUAUUAGUUAGACAGAGAGUAAGGUAUUGGUUAGACGGAGAAAAAGGUAUUGGUUACAUGAGAGAAAA
Molecule: long non-coding RNA, 393 nt
Organism: Xenia sp. Carnegie-2017
Lineage: Eukaryota; Metazoa; Cnidaria; Anthozoa; Malacalcyonacea; Xeniidae
Exons: 2
Source: RefSeq, a predicted model, not a curated record